This 253-nucleotide ribosomal RNA is filed under the name uncultured bacterium. RNAcentral describes it as "partial 16S ribosomal RNA". It matches the Rfam family "Bacterial small subunit ribosomal RNA", at positions 524 to 776 of the family's 1533-position model. The record is from RNAcentral.
UACGGGGGGGGCAAGCGUUGUUCGGAAUUACUGGGCGUAAAGGGCUCGUAGGUGGCCAACUAAGUCAGACGUGAAAUCCCUCAGCUUAACUGGGGAACUGCGUCUGAUACUGGAUGGCUUGAGAUUGGGAGAGGGAUGCGGAAUUCCAGGUGUAGCGGUGAAAUGCGUAGAUAUCUGGAGGAACACCGGUGGCGAAGGCGGCGUUCUGGACUGCAACUGACACUGUAAAACGAAAGCCAGGGGAGCAAACGGG